Long non-coding RNA from Syngnathus acus (greater pipefish), 1384 nucleotides. RefSeq lists it as uncharacterized. Lineage: Eukaryota; Metazoa; Chordata; Actinopteri; Syngnathiformes; Syngnathidae. The record is from RefSeq and is a predicted model, not a curated record. The transcript is spliced from 4 exons.
AAGGCUGUGCUCGUAUGCCUCUUUCCAGAUUUGGCUGCUGCGUCUCCUGUCUGUCUGUCUGUCUGUCUGUCUGUCUGUCGAUGUGAUAAUGAGGCCACAGGGGGUUUACAACAGCGACACCCUAACUUGAAGAAAGGAAAAGCGUUCAAUUUAUCAUGUGCUGCCAAGCCCAAGUUUGCAUCGCAGCAUGUAAGAAAUAAUCAAAUGAGCCUGGCAGCCUGAAGAGAUGGCCAUUCAGAGGUUUGUUUUCCUUCCAUUCCAGCUUCUCCAACUUGCUGCAAUUUAUGAUGCAAAUUGGGGCAGCCAUAUUGAUCAUGAACUGCACUCAACCUGACCAGACAAGAAUUUCAUUUGGACACAGAUCAGAGGGAAGCCACCAGUGGAACAGAUGCUGAUAUUAUAAGAUAGGCAUGUGUGGAAACAUCAUAGGUAGAUGCCCAGAUUGCUUGUCAGGCACAAUUGGCAGGUAGCAGCUGUACAUCACUUUUGAGGUCAGAGGUACAAACAGACAUGCGCGCACGCACAUACACACAUGCACAAGCCAGUCUUAUUACCACUGCCCCGGAUAGAAAACAAACCAGACAAAAGACAGAGAUUCCGUCUUGCACACAACUGACAGUUGACAUUGAUGGAAAGGGAGUGACAAAAGUUUAGCUUGAUAUAUUUGUAAAAAAAACUCUAACACAAUACAAAAUAUAGAAAUUUAAAAAAGAAAUGCACGUCAUUUUUAUUCAGGUUCUGUUGUGUUGAUUUGUACUAUUCAUCUCUUGACCAUGGUUGUUUUUGUUUAGGAAGCCCCUACUGGCCAGGUAUUGCUACUGCACUUAGAAGUGUGCAGUCCUUGCAAAGGUCAAAGGUUAAAAGUAAAAUGGCUGACUCCAAACAGAGAGAGCAUGGAAGCAGGCCUCUUGGCAAAGUAAGUUUUUUUUCAAUGUGUUAUUUGGACUUUUGUUGCAUUAUUUUGAAGCUUGAAGUUUUUUCAAUGUGUUAUUUUGACUUUUGUUGCAUUUUUUGGAAAAGUCAGAUUAGCUUGUGUAAUCAAUUUAAUCUGGUUCCUGACAUCACCUGAUCAAACACAGUGAGUAAAUGUGUUGAACUCUGUUUAGACGUUUACCUACUUUGGAAUUGAAUGAAUCUUAUUUUAUGUGGAAAGAGAAAAUAUCCUCGAUUAUUCUUCGACAGGUUUUAAAUAUUUGUCUAUCACUGUUGUUGACCUUUUUUAAGCUGCCAUUGCCAGACUCCCUCCCACACACAUAAUCACACACCACAUGAGAAACACAAAGUGCAAUGCACUAUUUUGGACGACACACGCGGGGGCAUUUGCAUUUUGUUUGCUUUUAAUUUUCCAGACAGUAAGUUUUAACACAACAUGAAGUGAUUUUUC